Molecule: unclassified non-coding RNA, 2254 nt
Filed under: synthetic construct
Source: RNAcentral
UUCUCGAGCAGCUUGGCGUAAUCAUGGUCAUAGCUGUUUCCUGUGUGAAAUUGUUAUCCGCUCACAAUUCCACACAACAUACGAGCCGGAAGCAUAAAGUGUAAAGCCUGGGGUGCCUAAUGAGUGAGCUAACUCACAUUAAUUGCGUUGCGCUCACUGCCCGCUUUCCAGUCGGGAAACCUGUCGUGCCAGCUGCAUUAAUGAAUCGGCCAACGCGCGGGGAGAGGCGGUUUGCGUAUUGGGCGCUCUUCCGCUUCCUCGCUCACUGACUCGCUGCGCUCGGUCGUUCGGCUGCGGCGAGCGGUAUCAGCUCACUCAAAGGCGGUAAUACGGUUAUCCACAGAAUCAGGGGAUAACGCAGGAAAGAACAUGUGAGCAAAAGGCCAGCAAAAGGCCAGGAACCGUAAAAAGGCCGCGUUGCUGGCGUUUUUCCAUAGGCUCCGCCCCCCUGACGAGCAUCACAAAAAUCGACGCUCAAGUCAGAGGUGGCGAAACCCGACAGGACUAUAAAGAUACCAGGCGUUUCCCCCUGGAAGCUCCCUCGUGCGCUCUCCUGUUCCGACCCUGCCGCUUACCGGAUACCUGUCCGCCUUUCUCCCUUCGGGAAGCGUGGCGCUUUCUCAAUGCUCACGCUGUAGGUAUCUCAGUUCGGUGUAGGUCGUUCGCUCCAAGCUGGGCUGUGUGCACGAACCCCCCGUUCAGCCCGACCGCUGCGCCUUAUCCGGUAACUAUCGUCUUGAGUCCAACCCGGUAAGACACGACUUAUCGCCACUGGCAGCAGCCACUGGUAACAGGAUUAGCAGAGCGAGGUAUGUAGGCGGUGCUACAGAGUUCUUGAAGUGGUGGCCUAACUACGGCUACACUAGAAGGACAGUAUUUGGUAUCUGCGCUCUGCUGAAGCCAGUUACCUUCGGAAAAAGAGUUGGUAGCUCUUGAUCCGGCAAACAAACCACCGCUGGUAGCGGUGGUUUUUUUGUUUGCAAGCAGCAGAUUACGCGCAGAAAAAAAGGAUCUCAAGAAGAUCCUUUGAUCUUUUCUACGGGGUCUGACGCUCAGUGGAACGAAAACUCACGUUAAGGGAUUUUGGUCAUGAGAUUAUCAAAAAGGAUCUUCACCUAGAUCCUUUUAAAUUAAAAAUGAAGUUUUAAAUCAAUCUAAAGUAUAUAUGAGUAAACUUGGUCUGACAGUUACCAAUGCUUAAUCAGUGAGGCACCUAUCUCAGCGAUCUGUCUAUUUCGUUCAUCCAUAGUUGCCUGACUCCCCGUCGUGUAGAUAACUACGAUACGGGAGGGCUUACCAUCUGGCCCCAGUGCUGCAAUGAUACCGCGAGACCCACGCUCACCGGCUCCAGAUUUAUCAGCAAUAAACCAGCCAGCCGGAAGGGCCGAGCGCAGAAGUGGUCCUGCAACUUUAUCCGCCUCCAUCCAGUCUAUUAAUUGUUGCCGGGAAGCUAGAGUAAGUAGUUCGCCAGUUAAUAGUUUGCGCAACGUUGUUGCCAUUGCUGCUGGCAUCGUGGUGUCACGCUCGUCGUUUGGUAUGGCUUCAUUCAGCUCCGGUUCCCAACGAUCAAGGCGAGUUACAUGAUCCCCCAUGUUGUGCAAAAAAGCGGUUAGCUCCUUCGGUCCUCCGAUCGUUGUCAGAAGUAAGUUGGCCGCAGUGUUAUCACUCAUGGUUAUGGCAGCACUGCAUAAUUCUCUUACUGUCAUGCCAUCCGUAAGAUGCUUUUCUGUGACUGGUGAGUACUCAACCAAGUCAUUCUGAGAAUAGUGUAUGCGGCGACCGAGUUGCUCUUGCCCGGCGUCAAUACGGGAUAAUACCGCGCCACAUAGCAGAACUUUAAAAGUGCUCAUCAUUGGAAAACGUUCUUCGGGGCGAAAACUCUCAAGGAUCUUACCGCUGUUGAGAUCCAGUUCGAUGUAACCCACUCGUGCACCCAACUGAUCUUCAGCAUCUUUUACUUUCACCAGCGUUUCUGGGUGAGCAAAAACAGGAAGGCAAAAUGCCGCAAAAAAGGGAAUAAGGGCGACACGGAAAUGUUGAAUACUCAUACUCUUCCUUUUUCAAUAUUAUUGAAGCAUUUAUCAGGGUUAUUGUCUCAUGAGCGGAUACAUAUUUGAAUGUAUUUAGAAAAAUAAACAAAUAGGGGUUCCGCGCACAUUUCCCCGAAAAGUGCCACCUGACGUCUAAGAAACCAUUAUUAUCAUGACAUUAACCUAUAAAAAUAGGCGUAUCACGAGGCCCUUUCGUCUUCAAG